UCCCUCCUUUUUCCGUAUGUGUAGUGCAAAUAAUAAAAACUGGCAAUAGGUAAAGGUAAAAGCAACAUGUAAGUGUAUUGGGGGGAUAAAUUUACAAAUCAGGGAACGGGUAAUUGUGAAUAAACAGUAACUAGAUAAACAAUACAAAACAGUGAAACGGCAGCUUUAAAACAGGAGCAUGAAGCUCAGGCCCAAAAUACAAGUCACCCUGGCAAUAACAUAUAUAAACUCUCAACUGAGAAAACUCAGUUUAUCUCAUUAUGUUGUCAGCACGUCUGUGGCGGCGGUGAAGUCCAGGACCUACACUCGUUGGGUAAUUGGAACCCGCAGAGGAGGAGCACUGGAGAGUCCCUCAGUGUCUCAGAGUGGAAGAAGCGGACCGAAACCCUCUGGUGAUGUUGUAUCCAGGAAUAGGAGCAGGGGCAGGAACAGCAUGCAUAUCCCUCCACAAAGGCAACCAGGCAAAGGACCUGCCUUGCUCUGGAAACCUGCUCAGCCAAUCUAACAAGCCCUGAGAAUGGGAGAAUUAAGAGACUUUGACACCAGCCUACAGUAGAGAACCAAUAAUGUCUGAGGAGACUGGAGAGGUAGUUGUUUACUUAGGGUUUCAUUUAUUUCUAUUGAUUUUGCUACAACACCUCAGAAAGACAGAGUGAGAUGUGAAUGGGCUAGUCUGGUGGACCAUUGUACUGUCGGAUAAUAUACCAAAAUGAGUGGGCUUUGGUUUACUGGAGGGCUAAAUUAAACAACCUAGAAAAGAGGGAAAUGAAGACAGUGGCCACAUCUCCAACCUUCAUUUAUAUGCUUAACUUUAGGCUACCAAAUUUGAAAAUGUUAGACAUAGCUUAUAAAAUAUCUGUGGCUUGGUAUAUACAUAUUUUGACUGCCUGCCACGGCUAUUUGUUGGUAUCAGUAAUCCAGCUACUCAUUUAUUAAUAGAUUUUACCAUCCAUAUUCAUGUUAUUUAGUACCUUCCCCUGUGAAUAGACUCAAUGAUUGGGACUAAUCACAAGGGGAAAUACUACUCCGUGUGAGUAAAGAUGGCAGCGUGCAGCCCUUCAAUAUUAUGGUGAAUUAUUUUGCUCUUCAAGGAAGAAUGAAGAUCUGACCAAAGUACAGUGGAUAAGGAACUUAUCUGCCACCAAUCAGACUUUGUCAAGAUCUGAGUUGUGCUCAAAUCUAAAUGGACUGCCACACUUGACAGUGUCUGGUGUCAAAAGCUGACAAUUUAAAGAACAACUUUUCAGAGAGGAAAUGGAAAUGUUAGAAAAAUCCCCAAAAGUUUCCCAGUUUCCCCAAUGUCCUGCUUACUAUUUGAGUCUCUCCACAUAAGGUAUAACUCAUUGUGUUAGCACUGAAUCUGAUCCUUCUGCACACAGGAGGGUAGAGAUUUAAACACCAGCCAUCUGUUUGCUUGUUAAAAGGAAUGUGUUGGUCAAGCUAUUAGUGUCACUGUCACUAGGAGGUAAAAGAAUGUGAAGAAUGCUUAGAAAAAUCCAUAAAACGUAUCCUCUGUUUUUGUGUAUCCUCUGUCACAACAACAGUAAAAGAUCCCCAAAACACCACCGUAACUCUCUGCUAGCAAAUUGUUUCCUGCAUGCAGAUAAAACAAGCUGUCAUUACUCUUCUAACCUUUUAUUUCUCCAUAUCUAUCUAAAUAAAGACAUUUAUAGCCACA
This 1678-nucleotide long non-coding RNA is filed under the name Chrysemys picta bellii (western painted turtle). RNAcentral's name for it is "lncRNA (ENSCPBG00000013323.1)". Lineage: Eukaryota; Metazoa; Chordata; Testudines; Emydidae. The record is from RNAcentral.